Molecule: non-coding RNA, 116 nt
Organism: Triticum aestivum (bread wheat)
Lineage: Eukaryota; Viridiplantae; Streptophyta; Magnoliopsida; Poales; Poaceae
Source: Rfam
UUCUUACUCCCUCCGUUCGAAAUUACUUGUUUAAAAAAUUGAAUGUAUUUAAAUAUAUUUUAAUUAUAGAUACAUCUAUUUUUAUGACAAGUAAUUCCGAACGGAGGGAGUACAAU